AGUUUGAUCCUGGCUCAGGACGAACGCUGGCGGCGUGCCUAACACAUGCAAGUCGAACGAAGCUCUGCGAUACAAGACUUCGGUCAAGUUGAACGGAUGACUUAGUGGCGGACGGGUGAGUAACGCGUGAGGAACCUGCCUUUCAGUGGGGGACAACAGUUGGAAACGACUGCUAAUACCGCAUAAUGUAUUCUGACCGCCUGAUCGGAAUACCAAAGAUUUAUUGCUGAAAGAUGGCCUCGCGUCUGAUUAGAUAGUUGGUGAGGUAACGGCCCACCAAGGCGACGAUCCAUAGCCGACCUGAGAGGGUGACCGGCCACAUUGGGACUGAGACACGGCCCAAACUCCUACGGGAGGCAGCAGUGGGGAAUAUUGCACAAUGGGCGAAAGCCUGAUGCAGCGACGCCGCGUGAGCGAAGAAGUAUUUCGGUAUGUAAAGCUCUAUCAGCAGGGAAGAUAAUGACGGUACCUGACUAAGAAGCACCGGCUAAAUACGUGCCAGCAGCCGCGGUAAUACGUAUGGUGCAAGCGUUAUCCGGAUUUACUGGGUGUAAAGGGAGCGCAGGCGGUGCGGCAAGUCUGAUGUGAAAGCCCGGGGCUCAACCCCGGUACUGCAUUGGAAACUGUCGUACUAGAGUGUCGGAGGGGUAAGCGGAAUUCCUAGUGUAGCGGUGAAAUGCGUAGAUAUUAGGAGGAACACCAGUGGCGAAGGCGGCUUACUGGACGAUAACUGACGCUGAGGCUCGAAAGCGUGGGGAGCAAACAGGAUUAGAUACCCUGGUAGUCCACGCCGUAAACGAUGAAUACUAGGUGUUGGGAAGCCAUUUUUUCUCGGUGCCGUCGCAAUCGCAGUCAGUAUUCCACCAGGGGAGGUACGUUCGCAGCAAUGAAAAUCAAAGGAAUUGACGGGGACCCGCCACAAGCGGUGGAGCAAGAGGUUUAAUUCGAAGCAACGCGAAGAACCUUACCAAGUCUUGACAUCCUUCUGACCGGUGCUUAACCGUACCUUCUCUUCGGAGCAGGAGUGACAGGUGGUGCAUGGUUGUCGUCAGCUCGUGUCGUGAGAUGUUGGGUUAAGUCCCGCAACGAGCGCAACCCUUAUCUUUAGUAGCCAGCGGUCAGGCCGGGCACUCUAGAGAGACUGCCAGGGAUAACCUGGAGGAAGGCGGGGAUGACGUCAAAUCAUCAUGCCCCUUAUGACUUGGGCUACACACGUGCUACAAUGGCGUAAACAAAGGGAGGCAAAGCUGUGAAGCCGAGCAAAUCUCAAAAAUAACGUCUCAGUUCGGACUGUAGUCUGCAACCCGACUACACGAAGCUGGAAUCGCUAGUAAUCGCAGAUCAGAAUGCUGCGGUGAAUACGUUCCCGGGUCUUGUACACACCGCCCGUCA
RNAcentral lists this ribosomal RNA (1392 nucleotides) under uncultured bacterium. RNAcentral describes it as "16S ribosomal RNA". It matches the Rfam family "Bacterial small subunit ribosomal RNA". The record is from RNAcentral.